RNAcentral lists this ribosomal RNA (106 nucleotides) under Timonella senegalensis. The record is from RNAcentral. Lineage: Bacteria; Bacillati; Actinomycetota; Actinomycetes; Micrococcales.
GUUGUCAUAGCAAGAGGGAAACGCCCGGUCCCAUUUCGAACCCGGAAGCUAAGCCUCUUUGCGCUGAUGGUACUGCACUCGGGAGGGUGUGGGAGAGUAGGACGCA